This is a long non-coding RNA of Diabrotica virgifera virgifera (western corn rootworm), 447 nucleotides long. RefSeq lists it as uncharacterized. The transcript has 2 exons. The record is from RefSeq and is a predicted model, not a curated record. NCBI's taxonomy places the organism in Eukaryota, Metazoa, Arthropoda, Insecta, Coleoptera, Chrysomelidae.
UCAUCGACUUGACCCCCUACUCCCUGACAUACACUGGAAGGGAAAAAUUAAUCCUUAAAAAGGCAUGUAAUUCGAAAAAUAAAUCAUUUCUAUUUCAUCAAAUCAUCUCUUGGGUUUUUUGGAAAGAAACCACUUUUCUCCCUCCGGGAGUUUCAACAACCCUCAAAUCGCCGGCGAUACAACAACGAAGACAAUGACAUCCAGACUGCACAACCACCACCUCUAGCUGCAGGGGCCUUGGGCCGAAGAUCCGCCCAGGCCUACGAGAAGUCUACAACAGCAGUACCAUACGACAUCAAGAAGAUACCAUCAGCUACCAAAAGCCAUAAGUAUAAUCCAGAAUUGUUAGUUUUUGGCAAGAAUUUAAAUACAUUUGUUAAUGCAAUUUACUAAGUCAUUUUAUUUAUUAUAUCUUUAUGAACAAUAAACAUGAUUAGUUAAAAACUA